ACGCUCGACACCUACGGGAGGCAGCAGUUGGGAAUAUUGGACAAUGGAGGGAACUCUGAUCCAGUGACGCCGCGUGAAGGAAGAAGGUCUUCGGAUUGUAAACUUAUUUUAUCAGGGAAGAAAGAAUGACAGUACCUGAAGAAGAAGGACCGGCUAACUACGUGUCAGCAGCCGCGGUAAUCUGAGCGGGCUGGCAAGGC
Molecule: ribosomal RNA, 200 nt
Filed under: uncultured bacterium
Lineage: Bacteria
Description: partial 16S ribosomal RNA
Rfam family: Bacterial small subunit ribosomal RNA
Source: RNAcentral